GGCAGCAUGGAGAGCUUGCUCUCUGAUGGCGAGUGGCGAACGGGUGAGUAAUAUAUCGGAACGUGCCUAGUAAUGGGGAACAACUAACCGAAAGGUUAGCUAAUACCGCAUACGACCUACGGGUGAAAGCAGGGGAUCUUCGGACCUUGCGUUACUAGAGCGGCCGAUAUCUGAUUAGGUAGUUGGUAGGGUAAAGGCCUACCAAGCCGACGAUCAGUAGCGGGUUUGAGAGGAUGAUCAGCAACACUGGGACUGAGACACGGCCCAGACUCC
This 273-nucleotide ribosomal RNA is filed under the name uncultured bacterium. RNAcentral's name for it is "partial 16S ribosomal RNA". It matches the Rfam family "Bacterial small subunit ribosomal RNA", at positions 65 to 339 of the family's 1533-position model. The record is from RNAcentral.